Molecule: ribosomal RNA, 489 nt
Filed under: uncultured bacterium
Lineage: Bacteria
Description: bacterial SSU rRNA
Rfam family: Bacterial small subunit ribosomal RNA
Source: RNAcentral
GAUGAACGCUAGCUACAGGCUUAACACAUGCAAGUCGAGGGGAAACGACAUCGAAAGCUUGCUUUGGUGGGCGUCGACCGGCGCACGGGUGAGUAACGCGUAUCCAACCUGCCCACACUUGGGGAUAACCUUGCGAAAGUAAGACUAAUACCCAAUGACGUCUCUAGAAGACAUCUGAAAGGGAUUAAAGAUUUAUCGGUGAUGGAUGGGGAUGCGUCUGAUUAGCUUGUUGGCGGGUAACGGCCCACCAAGGCAACGAUCAGUAGGGGUUCUGAGAGGAAGGUCCCCCACAUUGGAACUGAGACACGGUCCAAACUCUUACGGGAGGCAGCAGUGAGGAAUAUUGGUCAAUGGGCGAGAGCCUGAACCAGCCAAGUAGCGUGCAGGAUGACGGCCCUAUGGGUUGUAAACUGCUUUUAUAAGGGAAUAAAGUGAGCCUCGUGAGGCUUUUUGCAUGUACCUUAUGAAUAAGGACCGGCUAAUUCCGUG